Molecule: ribosomal RNA, 479 nt
Filed under: uncultured bacterium
Lineage: Bacteria
Description: partial 16S ribosomal RNA
Rfam family: Bacterial small subunit ribosomal RNA
Source: RNAcentral
GAUGAACGCUAGCGGGAGGCCUAACACAUGCAAGCCGAGCGGUAGAGUCUCUUCGGAGACUUGAGAGCGGCGCACGGGUGCGGAACACGUGUGCAACCUGCCUUUAUCUGGGGGAUAGCCUUUCGAAAGGAAGAUUAAUACCCCAUAAUAUACUGGAUGGCAUCAUCUGGUAUUGAAAACUCCGGUGGAUAGAGAUGGGCACGCGCAAGAUUAGAUAGUUGGUGAGGUAACGGCUCACCAAGUCAGCGAUCUUUAGGGGGCCUGAGAGGGUGAUCCCCCACACUGGUACUGAGACACGGACCAGACUCCUACGGGAGGCAGCAGUGAGGAAUAUUGAACAAUGGGUGAGAGCCUGAUCCAGCCAUCCCGCGUGAAGGACGACGGCCCUAUGGGUUGUAAACUUCUUUUGUAUAGGGAUAAACCUAGAUACGUGUAUCUAGCUGAAGGUACUAUACGAAUAAGCACCGGCUAACUCCGUG